RNAcentral lists this ribosomal RNA (459 nucleotides) under uncultured bacterium. RNAcentral's name for it is "bacterial SSU rRNA". It matches the Rfam family "Bacterial small subunit ribosomal RNA", at positions 346 to 796 of the family's 1533-position model. The record is from RNAcentral.
AGGCAGCAGUUAGGAAUCUUCCGCAAUGGACGAAAGUCUGACGGAGCAACGCCGCGUGAGCGAAGAAGGCCUUCGGGUCGUAAAGCUCUGUUGUGAGGGACGAAGGAGCGCCGUUCGAAGAGGGCGGCGCGGUGACGGUACCUCACGAGGAAGCCCCGGCUAACUACGUGCCAGCAGCCGCGGUAAUACGUAGGGGGCGAGCGUUGUCCGGAAUUAUUGGGCGUAAAGCGCGCGCAGGCGGUCUCUUAAGUCUGAUGUGAAAGCCCACGGCUCAACCGUGGAGGGUCAUUGGAAACUGGGGGACUUGAGUGCAGGAGAGGAGAGCGGAAUUCCACGUGUAGCGGUGAAAUGCGUAGAGAUGUGGAGGAACACCAGUGGCGAAGGCGGCUCUCUGGCCUGCAACUGACGCUGAGGCGCGAAAGCGUGGGGAGCAAACAGGAUUAGAUACCCCAGUAGUCC